This 183-nucleotide ribosomal RNA is filed under the name Triticum aestivum (bread wheat). RNAcentral describes it as "partial small subunit ribosomal RNA". The record is from RNAcentral. Lineage: Eukaryota; Viridiplantae; Streptophyta; Magnoliopsida; Poales; Poaceae.
GAAAUCCAAAAAGAAAUCGAUAUGAUCCACGUCAUAAUCCAUAUUGGAUUCCCAAAUUUAUUAAAGAAAAAAGGAGCAAUCGAAGAAUUAGAGAAAGAUCUACAAAAGGAAAUUAACUCUAUAAACCAGAGAUUUAAUAUUUCUAUCGAAAAAGUUAAAGAACCUUAUAGACAUCCUUUAUAG